GCACCUGUUGGUUCCAGGCAACCUGAAAGCCCCUGUCUAAGGAACUCUUCCCUUCUCACACACACAGUGUGUCUCUGCUUGCAAAUGCCAAAUACAUUGGCUGGCCUGUAAAUUCUAUGAGCUUCGGUGUUGUUUCUCCUGGAAAGAAUAAUCCUAAUACUUCUCCCUGAAGUCUAGGAUUCUCCCUUGCCCACCCCCACCCCCCCAGAUUCCCUCUUUUGCAGAAACUGAGUGAGAGCAGAACUACCCUCACUUUCCUAGAGGUCACUGAGUCCUUCCCACAAUCCAGGGCUCUCAGGAGUAAGUCCUGGACCUGGAGGGACCAGCUACUGGCAUGUCAUCUGCAGGGACAGGUGGGAUAGGUGCCCACCUAUGCCCACCGACUCUGCCUCUUGCUGCGGGCUGAUAGAGAAGGAGGUGGGGGGCAGGAGGUGAGGCAGGGCUUGCCCCACACUCUCCUCUCCUGGGAACCCACGGAUCCUUGGCAAGUGGUAGAACCCCUCACAGGUGAAAAAGGGAGUCAUGGGGGGCGGUGCCCUCUGAAGGAUUUAACUGUUGGGUUGACAGUAAGAGCCGCUUUUGUUACAUGGCGUGUCUGGCUCUCCCUCCGAAGCCCAGUCAUCCCUCCUGCACAAAAGAUGGAUUUUGGACAUACCUGGAAUUGGGUUUGAAUCCUGGCUCUGGUUUUUAUGGGCUUGUGUGUCCUUUGAUGGUGUAACUUUCCCAAAUCUCAGUUUCUUCCUGUGCAGAUUGGGAGGAAACAAGUGCUGUGGGGAGGGACCAGCGAGCCAUGCUCCUAAAGUGCCAGGGGAGAACCCAGUGUGAUGCAAAUGUACCAGAAUAAAUCGUUGCUUUCAAAACAGGUGUCACUGCCUCUGCUCCUCCCCCAGCAUCCUCGGCAGUUCAGGCACCACUGUUGAGUCUCCUGGGAGAAUGAUAAACCCGAUGAGGAUCUUAUAAGAAUGAAGGGUGGAAUACAUUGUAUGCUUUGUUUUUGUUUAUUCAUUAUUUUAUUUUAUUGCUACUCCCACAGCAUGUGGAAGUUCCCUGGUCAGGUAUAGAAUCCGCGCCACGGCAAUGACCCAAGACGAAACAGUGACAAUGCCAGAUCCUUAACCCUUGAGGCCACCAGGAAACUCCUUGUUCAUUAAUUUUUUGAUUCUUGCUUGUGUGCUGUGAAUUUUGCCUGCCUCCGUACUUAUACACGGAGCUGACAGGAGUGACUGCAGCCAAAUGGUAGAUGAGGACCAGAGUGAGGACAUGGAUGGUGGCCCCCUUCCCACACCAAGUCAGCUCAUGACAGCUGGGUCCUGCUGCUGUUGUUGCUAACGUGCCUGAGCACCAGCCACAUUCCAGACACUAGGCUAUACAUUUAUGUACAUGAUCAUUUAAUUCUUAAACUUCAGCAUCAAGCCCUAGAGCUGGUUGAUGUAGACAAUAUCUUUGAGACAGAAUUGGUAUUCUUUGUGAUUUGGAAUUAGCUGUCCAAAACAUAGGAACUGAAUUUUUUGGAUAAUGUGUUUCUCUCACUCUCUGAAUUUAUGAAAAUAACUCAGAAAAUAAUAAAUCCAGAGAGCAAACAAUACUUAUAUUAUUAACCAUAUCUUACAGAUGAAGAACCAGACUGAAGCAUGGAGAAGUUAAAUAAGGGCCCUAAGUCACACAGCCAGUAAUUGAAUUGAAAUUUAAGAAAAGGGCAAUGGGGACAUUUGUACAAUUAGUAGCCAGGUGCUUAAUCAUAACAAAUGUUAUCUAUAUAUUGAUUUAACCACGAAUCGGCAAUUUUUUUUCUGUAAAGACCAGAAAGAAAAUAUUUCAGUCUUUGUGUGUCAUAGGGUCUCUGUUGCAAGAACUCAACUCUGCCACUGUAUCAGGAAAGCAGCCACAGACAACAUAUAAACAAAGGCACAUGCCUAUUUUCCAGUAAGCUUUAAAUUUAUAAGAACAAGAGUUGACUGCAUUUGGCCAUGGGCCCUAGUUAGCUGGUUUAGAUUUAGAUUUUUCAUCACUCGUACUAUCCCAAUUAAACAAAACUCCAACCAUGAGGUAAAAAUUUGGCCAUUGAUUUUUCACUUUGGUCCUUGAACUGUUAACAUGAACAACCACCUUAUGUGGUGGGUACUCAAUAAUCCAAUCCCCUAGGAAAUGGGAGCGUAAAGAGAUGAAGAAACUUGCUCAGGCUGCACAGCCAGUAAGGAGCAGAAACAGAAUUUGGACCAAGGCGACUCAGCUCCUAACAGAGCCGUGUCCUUACCCACCAUGUAAUGCUGCUUUUUAGGGACUGCUAUGUGUAUGCCAGGGCUCUCAGCUUUGGCUGCACUUUGAUGUCACUUGGGGAAUUUUUAACAAACAUGGAUGCUAUUAUGGGCUGAACUGUGUUUCCCCCAAUUCAGAUGUUGCAGUCUCCAUCCCAUAAUCUGUUACCUCAGAUUAUGGCUGUAUUUAAAGAUGGGGUCGUUAAAGAAUGACUGAGGUAAAACGAGGUCAUUAGAGUGGGCCUUAAUCCAGUAUGACUGGUGUCCUUCCUUGGAAGACAAGACUGGACACAGACACACGCUGAGAAAAGACGAGGUGAAGGUGUAGGGAGAAAAUGGUGGGCUAUAAACCAAGGACAGAGGCCUCGGGAGGGACCACCCCUGCUGACGCCUUGUUCCCAGACAUCCAGCCUCCAGAACUAUGAGAAAGGCCUGCCUGUUGUUUAAGCCCCCCCUCUCCGGUAUUUGGUGUGUCAGCUCCAAACAAUUCAGAUACCAAGGCCAUCUCCAAUCAAUCAAUUUAGAAUCUCUGGCUGGAAUCAGGGCAGCUGAUCUGGUGAGAAGCUGUUGAUGCCAUGUAUCACCUUCAGAUAACAUGUAUGCCAACAUGUUCCUGGGGCUCAGUGCGAUUCUCCGAGGCCCUAGUACAUCCCUUCGCAUCAGACUCCACCCAGGACCAGGGUGUCCUGCAGGGGACUCCAGGUUUCCCUCCUAAAGGCUCCCUGUGAGGGCUCCAAAUUUUCUUUAAGGAUUUUGCCAGCCUCCUUCCUUCUUUUCUUUUCACUAAGACCAGUGAUGAGUUCCAUUAUGAAAACAGGUGAACAUGAUAAAAACAAAAAAGACCCAGGAUCUAUGAGUUUUUCCAGCAAUGGAACUCUGCCUUUAUUCAGUAGUGAUAAUACAAGUAAUUAGUCAUUGCCAAAACUUUAUUCAUUAAUCCUCCCGCUUGAUAUUAUGCCAUCUGGGUGAUACUUCACUGCAAUCUCCCUAAGAAAAUGGGGGAAAAAAGUUUGACUUUUCACUCUUUAGUCACCUUGAAAUAAUGAAAGUCAAAAUAAAUCCAAUUGUCUGGGAAAUGUGUCUGUUCCUAAAUAUUCAAUAAGCCAUUUAAAGCUUUGCAGAUCAUCAAGUGUCUCCAUCUAUAAAACCCCUGGUUCUUCAAUUAAAAUUCUAUUCCAGCCUUGGCUGUCCAAACAAUAUUGCAUUUAUUUGGCAUAAAAAUUAAAACUGGAAUAUUUGUUUCAUAGAAUGUAAAGGUCUGAGAAACAUUUUGGAACAAAAUCACACACACAGCCCCCCCCACACACACACACACCCUUACACAACACACACACACACACACACACACACACACACACACACACACAGAGGAGUUAAUUUAGUUGUUUUUCUUUGUUUUCUGAUUUCCAAACAAAUUUCUCUGUUGAACAUAUUGCAAAUUGAUCCUCAUGGUUCUAGUUUAUCACAGUGCAUUUUCAUCUUCCUUCGAAUCAAGCAUGUUAUACCUAAAACUACAAUGUUGCAAAGAGUCUACUUCCAUUCAUGCUAUAUUCCCUUUAGUGGCAUUGAAUCCUUAAGACAUCUGUUAAAAGUCAGGUGCAUUAAGCUAACAGCAUAACAGGGUUGCAUCUGUGGAAGUUUAUCCAACAAAUUAACCUCAUGGACACCUAAGCAGACGCUGCAGAGAGCUGGAAAGAAUAUCACAAGGAUUUUAUCAAAGCCACUUCCUACUGUGGAACCGAAGAAGUGGCAGACAGGAAGGCUUCCUUGUGGAAGCAGAGUGUGGUAUAGUUAAACGAAUGAGAUGUUUCAAGGCCAGGCGCAUGGCUCUCUUCUCCUCCAAAUAAACCUUCUACUGAGAGAAAAGUGCUUUCGCACAAUUUUGGAGGUGGUCUCUGUUUCCUGAAACUGUCAUGAUUCAGCCACAGUAUUCAGUGUCCUGUCUCUGUUGGCCAAUCUCACCAGCAGAGCUAUUUCCCUUGAUUUUUCUAAUGCGGGACUUCGAUGCAGAUGGAGGGGCAGCAUGAGGGUGGGAGGGCUCUCCAUCCAAAAUCUCUCCUGUGAGAAGAACACAGAUUAUGAUGGGCGAGAGCUGGGAGCUGAAAAUGUGUAUGUUGCGUGUGUGCUGGGGGAGGGGCUCAUUUACCGGGAGAACUUUAGAAAACUGCAGAGGCCACCCCACAGCCAGAGGGGUGGGAGUGGGUCACCGUUACUGAUGGAAACAAGUGCUGUCCCUCAGGUGAGCCAGAAGGAUGCCUGUGACAUGGCAAUGGCUGAGAGGCACAGAAGUGCAGCCCCUACCAGUCACCGACCUCAGGUUCGGAUGAACCGGACGGAUACAGAGAGGAUCCUGCAAGCUUCCCAGGAGCCGAGCUCAAUCGACGGGUGUCUCUUUGGAGGCCCUGGGCAUGGCAGUGGGAGGGGGUCUCAGGCUGGGUUACCCUUCCACAGUGGGGGAUGUGACAUUAGCCCAUAUUUCUAUGCUGCAUUGCGCUGGGCACUGGGCCUGGAAGAGCUCAUUUAAUCCUUACCGGGAGGUGGACGCAAUGACCCUUCUCACAGAGACAGAGGCACAUGCAUUGCUAGCAAAGGUCACCGAGCUAGUUAGCAGGUCGCCCAGCUAGUUAGCAGGUCGCCAAGAUAGUAAGCACUGGGAAAAGGCUGGACGCUAGGGAGUCUUUCCACAGCCUAAUAAUUUUUGUCUUACUCGAUUCCUCUCCAGGGUGGCAGGAGGAUUCAGGCAGAACUGGGGGCCGUGUGGAAGUGAGGGCCGGGGAGCCUGAGCCUCCCUGGCUGCCUCUGGGGUCUGGUGCUCCCAGGAGAGAAGGCCUUUGGGAUUUCCCUGGAGAAGAGCCAUCUCGGGUCCAGUAUGUUCAGACUGGAGGUUCUCCUCCACGUUACCGAGCCUCAGCCGGGUAAUGGGGAUGCAGAAAAGUGAGAGUGGUUUAUAAAUGUUAGGGCUUUCCCUUUUAAACUACUUCCUCAUGAUUAAGAGAAAGCGAGAGCUAAGGAUCUGCUAAGUGCCUGGCGCUGUCUGAAGAGCUGUGCUGCGGUGUUUGGUGCCAACCCCGGGUGGCACUGCUCAGUGAAGCUGCUGAGGCCAGAGACCCCUACUAAGGGAGGCAGAUGGGAAG
Molecule: long non-coding RNA, 5389 nt
Filed under: Sus scrofa (pig)
Lineage: Eukaryota; Metazoa; Chordata; Mammalia; Artiodactyla; Suidae
Description: lncRNA (ENSSSCG00015038107.1)
Source: RNAcentral